CAAUACUGAGUGGCAAACGGGUGAGUAUAAUGUAGGAAUCUGCCUUUUGGUUUGGAAUAACACGGGGAAACUUGUGCUAAUACCGAAUAAGCCUUUACAGGGAAAGUUUUAACGCCGAAAGAUGAGCCUGCACUUGAUUAGCUAGUUGGUAAGGUAAAAGCUUACCAAGGCAACGAUCAAUAGCUGUUCUUAGAGGAAGACCAGCCACAUUGGGACUGAGACACGGCCCAGACUCCUACGGGAGGCAGCAGUGGGGAAUCUUGCACAAUGGGGGAAACCCUGAUGCAGCGAUGCCGCGUGAGUGAAGAAGGCCUUUGGGUUGUAAAACUCUUUCGUCGGGGAAGAAAAUGACUGUACCCGAAUAAGAAGGUCCGGCUAACUUCGUGCCAGCAGCCGCGGUAAU
This 403-nucleotide ribosomal RNA is filed under the name uncultured Alphaproteobacteria bacterium. RNAcentral describes it as "bacterial SSU rRNA". It matches the Rfam family "Bacterial small subunit ribosomal RNA", at positions 86 to 524 of the family's 1533-position model. The record is from RNAcentral. Lineage: Bacteria; Pseudomonadati; Pseudomonadota; Alphaproteobacteria.